UACGUAGGGGGCAAGCGUUGUCCGGAAUUAUUGGGCGUAAAGAGCGUGUAGGCGGUCCGGUAAGUCAGUUGUGAAAGUCAAGGGCUCAACCCUUGAAUGCCGGUUGAUACUGUCGGGCUAGAGUCCGGAAGAGGCGAGUGGAAUUCCCGGUGUAGCGGUGAAAUGCGCAGAUAUCGGGAGGAACACCAAUGGCGAAGGCAGCUCGCUGGGACGGUACUGACGCUGAGACGCGAAAGCGUGGGGAGCAAACAGG
This 253-nucleotide ribosomal RNA is filed under the name uncultured bacterium. RNAcentral describes it as "partial 16S ribosomal RNA". It matches the Rfam family "Bacterial small subunit ribosomal RNA", at positions 524 to 776 of the family's 1533-position model. The record is from RNAcentral.